GGCUCAGCUCUUGCUAUGGAAACUCCGCAGGUAACCAACGGCGGUUGCCCCACCUACGACAAAGACGUCGC
Molecule: non-coding RNA, 71 nt
Organism: Pseudomonas sp. MF4836
Lineage: Bacteria; Pseudomonadati; Pseudomonadota; Gammaproteobacteria; Pseudomonadales; Pseudomonadaceae
Source: Rfam